RNAcentral lists this ribosomal RNA (461 nucleotides) under uncultured bacterium. Its description in RNAcentral is "partial 16S ribosomal RNA". It matches the Rfam family "Bacterial small subunit ribosomal RNA", at positions 338 to 795 of the family's 1533-position model. The record is from RNAcentral.
CCUACGGGUGGCAGCAGUGAGGAAUAUUGGUCAAUGGCCGGAAGGCUGAACCAGCCAAGUCGUGUGAGGGAAUAAGGCCCUAUGGGUCGUAAACCUCUUUUGUCAGGGAGCAAAGGCGUCCACGUGUGGACGAGAGGAGAGUACCUGAAGAAAAAGCAUCGGCUAACUCCGUGCCAGCAGCCGCGGUAAUACGGAGGAUGCAAGCGUUACUCGGAAUCACUGGGUGUAAAGAGUGCGCAGGCGGGCUUGUAAGUGAGAUGUGAAAUCCUGUAGCUUAACUACAGAACUGCAUUUGAAACUAUGAGUCUUGAGUGUGGGAGAGGUAGGUGGAAUUCUUGGUGUAGGGGUAAAAUCCGUAGAUAUCAAGAGGAAUACUCAUUGCGAAGGCGACCUACUGGAACAUUACUGACGCUCAUGCACGAAAGCGUGGGGAGCAAACAGGAUUAGAUACCCCUGUAGUC